Molecule: non-coding RNA, 22 nt
Filed under: Arabidopsis thaliana (thale cress)
Lineage: Eukaryota; Viridiplantae; Streptophyta; Magnoliopsida; Brassicales; Brassicaceae
Source: RNAcentral
GUGGAUGACUGCGUCGCUGCUU